AUGUUUUUGAGGUACUUAACUUCAUUCCUUUUGUUCUUCCUUCUGUCUCUUUCUACAGUGCUCUCUGGAUCGAAUGCCAGGUAUAGUGCUGCAAACUUACUUAAAAUGCCAUCUCUCCAAUGUGUCUCCUUAGAAGUAGCUCCUACAGAGUUCAAUCAGAUUUGCUCACAGAGGAACCUGUUUGAAUUAGGAAACAGGAACUUGUUAAAAGAGCUUGUGUCCACUGCUCUGGGCCAUCCAUUUCUAAUGUGUGUUGGUGACUUGUGCUGCAAUCCGCUCCUGUCCAGCCCGCGGACAGUUUUGAACAUCAAAACCAUUUACUGUAUAGCUUUUUGUCUAAGGUUGAUCAGUUGCUUCUCUUUAACAUACCGCAAAAAACCUCUUUAGUAUUUGUGAAGAUUAACAAAUUUAAAAUAAAA
This 419-nucleotide long non-coding RNA is filed under the name Pogona vitticeps (central bearded dragon). RNAcentral's name for it is "lncRNA (ENSPVIG00000022763.1)". Lineage: Eukaryota; Metazoa; Chordata; Lepidosauria; Squamata; Agamidae. The record is from RNAcentral.